Long non-coding RNA from Cucumis melo (muskmelon), 5101 nucleotides. RefSeq lists it as uncharacterized. The transcript has 7 exons. Lineage: Eukaryota; Viridiplantae; Streptophyta; Magnoliopsida; Cucurbitales; Cucurbitaceae. The record is from RefSeq and is a predicted model, not a curated record.
UAAUCCCCAUAGCCCUUCUUGUAUCUCUAUCGUCAUCCUCUAUAACCCUUCGUAUAACCCUCCUCAACCCUAGUGAAAUCCGGUCGUAAUCCUCCUCUAUUCCUCUGUAAUCUGUUCGAUUUUCCUUCUCUUUUCUUUGUAUUAUUCCUCAUUUUCGGCUCUAUUUUUGUUUCCCCCUCGAAAUGGUUCUCUUUCACUCCCUGAUUGGUUUUAUGACCGGUUGUCGCUUAUGCGUGUUGCCUCAGAAACUUCCCGCCUUCCUCUCUAUCUUUCCAUUCACGAUUUUACUGUAACAGUUGGUACACCAAUGUAGCCUUGUCGCUUGGAUAUAGCCUUGCCGCUCCAAUUUGGACUUUGCGUCACUUUCGUUUUGACCCAAAGCCACAUCAAGUGACAAAUGCUACACCAAGUUGAACGAAAGACGAGUAGGGCCUCAGCAGAGCACGGUAGGGGUUUUCGGUCAACAUCGAAGGUUUGUGUAGCCCAUGAUGAGUUCGUUGUUGGUGGGCACUCUCUGAUUCCUUUUUCACAUCAUCAAAAUUUUUGCUUGGUUGUUUUUGGUUUUUUGACAUACAUUUUUUUGCUCAACUCCUUUUCUUGCUUCGUUCUAUAUUGUAUUCAAUUUUGUUUUCUUUUUCCUUUCAAUGAAAUGCAUUUGUGUUUGAAUCCCCCCCGACCACUUUAAUCUUUUUCCAUCCACAUGUAUGCCUUCCAUUUUGGUAUUAUUUGUUGUGGCUGCAAUUUUUUCCAUCUGCAUUCCAUUCGAUCUUGUUUCGAGCCUAUUGUUUUUUAAUUUGCUUUGUUACUUUUUUUCAUUGUAUGAUACUAGUUUGCAUAUGAAAUGUUUUAUAUUAUGUUUUCAACAAGUUCUAUGCUUCAUCAAUGAGUUCCUUUCUAUUUCAACACCCCCCAAGUUAUCUAUGUUGUCCUAAUCUAAUGUAUGGUUUGCGAUCGAAUCAAUUGGUUUCACUGCCUUUCUUUCUUAUUGUUCCAAUCUGAUUUGCUCACUGCUUGUUGGUUCUUCAUAACUUUGUCAAUUCCACUGCCCAUCUCUGCUUGUGUCAAUAUUAUCAUGUCUGUUGUUUACUGUGUACAUAUGCUGCUAUAGUUUUGCAUACCUAAUUUCCUAAUUUCUUUAGUUUAGGUCUUCAAGUUUGAUUAUCAUUUUCCAUUGUCACAUUCAAUUGCCAUAUCCCCUAUUUUCUAGGAUACUUGUUGGUUCUUUCAUGCUUUGGUAUCCUAUUUAUUACCAUUUUUCCUUGACUAUAUAUAUGGCCUCUAGUUUCUAUUCCAUUCCAUUGCUUCAUUAUAAUGUUAGCUUGAAUUAUUAGUUACUAUUAUUUCAAGUUCUUUAUCUGUCUGUGUUGUCCCUAUGGUUCAUCCAUCUAUUGUAGUUUUAAAGCAUGAAAACUGUUGAAAAAAACUUUAUACACACGCUUUUUGCCAUUGCUUGCUUUGUAUUUACUUAUGAUGUCGUUAUGUCCACCACACAAAAUUCUACCGCAACAAAAUUCUUCUUGAAUGACUUUGCGUGAAUUUCUUAACUUUGAGGCUACUUCCUUUCCCUUACAUUAUUUACUAAUGCUUCUGUAUUUUAUUAUACCGUUGUAUGGAUUUGUAAGGGCAAAGUUCGGUUAAGGCAUGUUCUCAUAACUUUUCUUUAUUUUUCCCAUUAUGUAAUCUAUAACGACCAGCUUAGAUAUGUUUUGUAAUCAUUUGUUUCAUAUUAGAUAUGUUUUGUAAUCUUUGGUUUCUUAAUUUAGGUUGUAGCACACUACAAAAAAAGGGACCAUUAUGACAGUUGAAUCCAUCCAAAAUUGUAAGGAGGGAAGAAAUAAAUGUCAUCAAAUGUUAAAAACCGCAUUUUUGGAGGGAAAAUAUGGAAUUUUUUGGAUUUGAAGAAUUUAUGACAGUUUUUAAGUGUUAUGAAUCUAUGACAAUUUUUAAAUGUCAAUAAUAUAAAUAAUCAAAUUAUAAAUAUUUAUUUUAAAUUACAUAAAAAGAAAGAAAAAGAAGAGAGAGGGAAUUGAAGUUUCUUUUUCGUUAAAGCACCCGCUCUUGUUCUCUCGUCGAUUGCUUCGUCACCAUCUUCUUCCUCUUCUUCUUCCUCCGCUAAGGCACAACAACAACAAUGCAGCCAAUUUUCUUGCUCCUUCCUGUUCUCCCUCUGAACCUCUCUCCCUUGUCAAUUCAAGCUCUCCCUCGUCGGUUCUUACACUCAUGGUAUUGUAUCUGUAAGUUUUUCUAAUCCCUUUAGCUGCUGAGAUCUUGUGGAAAUGUAAAACAAGGUUUGGGUUAUCUGAUAUUUACUGACCCAUUUUUUGCUUUUUGGUUUUUGCUAUUCUUGGAUGAAGCUACUAAUCUGGGAUGCUGCUCACUUUUUGAAUAUCUUCUCAUGUUCUUCUGUUUAGACUUGUUUCUCUUUUUGUUACAACAGAUGGGUUGAUUUUGAUAGUUACUUUAGGACUAAGAGAAAUGUUAUUUUCUUAAUUGGUCAUUUCUAGGGUGAUUUACUAUUAGUUUAUCAUUUGAAUUAUCAUGGAGAAUUGAAAUUAGAAGAUCUGGGAUUCUGCUAACUCCAUUUUCUUCUUUAAUGGCAGAAUUAUAGACAAUUCUUCCAAGUUUUAGCCUGAACUUUUUCAGUUUGUUAUGUCCUCUUCUUGCCCACAAAUAACUUGAACCUCUUCCUUUGAAUUAUACUUUAUUUCCCUAUUUGUUUUGAAAAUUUGGCAUUAUUGUCCAUGUUUUCUACUACGUUUGGAUUGGUAACUGAUAGCUGAAGAGUCAAUGUGUUGUCUGUUUCAGAAGUCAUGAGUUGGUUUUGCUCAUUAUGUAAUGGUGAGAAGAGGGAAAAACCACUAAACUUAACACCAUUUAUGUCGAUCAAUUCCACAAAUGUUGACAUUGAAGUUGGAAGGUCUGGUUCUGAACUUAAUUUUUUCUUCAUUAAUUUCAUUUGAAAAUAUCUUAGUAAAGAAAGUACAUUGGCAAUUCCAUGAAAGUUAAAGAUGGUGGUGACUGGUGUGCUGUUAUAUCGAGGGUUUUUAAUUUUUCUUUCAUACUUUCACAGGAGAUCUAGAAUAUUCUUUUGUACACAUUUUCAAGUCUUAUAAGUAUAACUUAUAUGAGACAAUUUUUGGGAUUGAAUGCUUCAUCUUAUAUGUCUCUCAUACAUCAUAUCUGCAAAAGUAUGUUCCAAACCCAAAUGUUAUAUGGCAAACGAUUACAAGCUAUUUUGAACUUAUUAUGCUGAAAUAUCAUAGACCCUAGGGUUUGCAAGUAAGCACCAUUCAUUAUAGGAUGAUUUGAGUAACUUAUAUUCUCCAAUAUUGUUAUUUAGCAAUUUUUACUACAUUUAGGUUCCAUUGGGAGCAAAUGGAUGUGCGUAUUUCCCUUUUGAGGAACUUUGUGACAAGCCUCUAGGAGUUGCAGAUUACUUCGACACUACAAGAAAAACCACCUACUAUGACAAUUGGUUUCAUCCCAAAUUGAAGGAGGAAAAUAAUAACUACCAUAAAAUGUCAAAAAACGCGUUUUUGGCGGGAAAAGACGGAAUUUUUCGAAUUUGAAGAAUUUAUGACAGUUUUUUUAACUGUCAUGAAUCUAUGACAGUUUUUAAAUGUCAUUAAAUAUAAAUUUUCAAAUUAUAUGUAUUUAUUUUAAAUUACAUAAAAAGAAAGAAAAAAGAAGAGAGAGUGAAUUGGAGUUUUUUUUUUAAUUAAAGUGCCUCCUCUCAUUAUUGCUCCAUCACCAUCUACUUCCUCUUCUUCUUCCUCGGCUAGGACACAACAACAACAUUGCAGCAUCCCAAAUUUCGUGCUCCUUCCUCUUCUCCUUCUGAACCUUCUCCCUUGUCGAUUAAAGCUCUCCCUCGUCGGCUUUCCUCUCCAAAAAUCGUCAGCAACAAUGGAGGGACAGAUGUUUUGGUUGGUUUUGUUACUAUUUUCUCACUUUUUAGAUUUUUUUGUGUGGAGAGGAGAAGACAACGCCCUUUUCUCUCUUUCUCUCUCUAUCUCUCUCUAAAAAACCCACUUACACAACCCAUUCUCUUCACCCAUCCACCCAUUUUCUUCACCCAUCACCCGAUAUUCACAACUGCGGCCCCCACCCCUUGAACGUCAAAUGCCAGCUUUGGAACUGAGUGCUCGAAAGGAUUAUGAGGCGGCUCAGAUUGAGGCUGUGAAGCACAUCAGUUUGGGGUCAUGUGAUCCUGAUAACACUCCAGUUGAAGUUAUUGCCUUCAGAUAUUGGCUUUAGAAAUCUUAUAUUAAAAGGCCAAUGGUAAUUGUUGGACCAAGUCUUGGUGCUGCUGUUGCUAUUCAUUUUGUUGUCAAUUAUCCAGAAGCUGUUGAUAGGCUUGUGUUGAUUGAUGCAAGUGUAUAUGCAAAAGGUACAGGAAACUUAGCUACCUUACCAAGAUUGAUUGCCUAUGCUGGGUGUGUAAGAAAUAAGGUUGGAGAUUCAAAAGGGAAGUAGAGGACUUAAAAGAGGAGUGGAGUACAAAGAAAUAAGGUAGGAUUUAUACCAAUCUUUGAUUUUUGUCAUUUUUUUGUUGAUUUAUGUGUUGUUUUUCUUGUCAAUUUAGGAUUAAUUCCUCAUAUUACAUUAGUUUUUAAUAUGGAUAAGGCCUUAUCUUCUUAUAGGGUGGAUUGUUGAGAUUUAAUAUUGGUUUCUAUUUUCAUCUCUACCGGCUAUACAUGCUUGUAAUUAUGCAAAGCCCAUAUAUUUGCCUACGGAGGUCUUGCACGAAUCUGAUCUACUAUAGUGGUGAAGCUACCAAAAGGCGUGGUGCAGAUAGUGCUAAGUCAUUAAAACCUUAUUAACAAGACCAUUUCAGAACUUGAAUCCGAACUAAGCUGUCUUGGAAGGCCUAUUGCAAAUGAUGUUGGGGUUUUGCCAGAAUCCAUUGGAGCAGGGGAGCCAUAUUUGCGACAAUUCAUUAAUGUAUAGGCAUUUUUGUAGGUUUGGUAGGAAAAUUUCUAGUUUAAAUGUAGUUAUUUAAAUAGUUUGUUUAUAACAAACCAUAUAUGUACCAACACUUAAAACAAUACUAUAAAAUGUAUGUUUCUUUAUAUUAAAGCGUUCACCGUUUCUUUCCGUA